Molecule: non-coding RNA, 89 nt
Filed under: Pseudomonas tolaasii NCPPB 2192
Lineage: Bacteria; Pseudomonadati; Pseudomonadota; Gammaproteobacteria; Pseudomonadales; Pseudomonadaceae
Source: RNAcentral
UGUGGGAGCUGGCUUGCCUGCGAUGACGGAGUGCCAGUCAGUGGAUAAUCAACUGACAGACCGCUAUCGCAGGCAAGCCAGCUCCCACA